CUUGCACCUGGUGGCGAGUGGCGAACGGGUGAGUAAUACAUCGGAACGUACCUUAUCGUGGGGGAUAACGCAGCGAAAGCUGUGCUAAUACCGCAUACGCCCUGAGGGGGAAAGCGGGGGAUCGAAAGACCUCGCGCGAUUAGAGCGGCCGAUGCCUGAUUAGCUUGUUGGUGGGGUAAAAGCCCACCAAGGCGACGAUCAGUAGCUGGUCUGAGAGGACGAUCAGCCACACUGGGACUGAGACACGGCCCAGACUCCUACGGGAGGCAGCAGUGGGGAAUUUUGGACAAUGGGGGAAACCCUGAUCCAGCAAUGCCGCGUGAGUGAAGAAGGCCUUCGGGUUGUAAAGCUCUUUUGUCAGGGAAGAAACACCGGCUCUAACACAGUCCGGGAAUGACGGUACCUGAAGAAUAAGCACCGGCUAACUACGUGCCAGCAGCCGCGGUAAUACGUAGGGUGCGAGCGUUAAUCGGAAUUACUGGGCGUAAAGCGUGCGCAGGCGGUUAUACAAGACAGGCGUGAAAUCCCCGGGCUUAACCUGGGAAUGGCGCCUGUGACUGUAUAGCUAGAGUGUGUCAGAGGGGGGUAGAAUUCCACGUGUAGCAGUGAAAUGCGUAGAUAUGUGGAGGAAUACCAAUGGCGAAGGCAGCCCCCCGGGAUAACACUGACGCUCAUGCACGAAAGCGUGGGGAGCAAACAG
Molecule: ribosomal RNA, 700 nt
Filed under: uncultured beta proteobacterium
Lineage: Bacteria; Pseudomonadati; Pseudomonadota; Betaproteobacteria
Description: bacterial SSU rRNA
Rfam family: Bacterial small subunit ribosomal RNA
Source: RNAcentral